CGAAGUGGGCCUCGCGGGCGAGGUCAGACGCGUCACGGGCGUCCAGCGCCGGCUGUCCGAAGCGGCCCGCCUCGGC
Molecule: transfer RNA, 76 nt
Filed under: Streptomyces glebosus
Lineage: Bacteria; Bacillati; Actinomycetota; Actinomycetes; Kitasatosporales; Streptomycetaceae
Description: tRNA-Val
Source: RNAcentral